RNAcentral lists this ribosomal RNA (403 nucleotides) under uncultured bacterium. Its description in RNAcentral is "bacterial SSU rRNA". It matches the Rfam family "Bacterial small subunit ribosomal RNA", at positions 356 to 775 of the family's 1533-position model. The record is from RNAcentral.
AGGGAAUAUUGCUUAAUGGGCGAAAGCCUGAAGCAGCAACGCCGCGUGAACGAAGAAGGCCUUCGGGUCGUAAAGUUCUUUUACGUGGGAUGAGGAAGGACAGUACCACGAGAAUAAGUCUCGGCUAACUACGUGCCAGCAGCCGCGGUAAAACGUAGGAGACGAGCGUUAUCCGGAUUUACUGGGCGUAAAGCGCGUGUAGGAGGCGCUACAAGUUGGAUGUGAAAGCUCCCGGCUUAACUGGGAGAGGUCGUUCAAGACUGUAGAGCUAGAGUGAGGCAGAGGUAGAUGGAACUCCGGGAGUAGUGGUGAAAUGCGUAGAUAUCCGGAAGAACACCAGAGGCGAAAGCGAUCUACUGGACCUAAACUGACACUGAGACGCGAAAGCCAGGGUAGCAAACGG